AUAAAAGGUCCAGCCUGCCCAGUGACAAAGUUCAACGGCCGCAGUACCCUAACUGCGCAAAGGUAGCAUAAUCACUUGUUCUUUAAAUAGGGACUAGUAUCAACGGCACCACGAGAGCUGUACUGUCUCCUUUCUCCAAUCAGUGAAACUGAUUUUCCCGUGAAGAAGCGGGGAUACAAUUAUAAGACGAGAAGACCCCAUGGAGCUUUAAGCAAUGUAUUCACCUUAACCAACUUAUAUCAACCUAACAGAAAGCCCUGAUUACAAGCCUUAGGUUGGGGAGACCGCGGAGUAUAACACAACCUCCACAACAAAUACCUUAAUCCUCGAGCCACAGCUCUAAGAACUAAAAAAUUAAUGUUUAAUGACCCGAUAAUUCGAUCAAUGAACCAAGUUACCCUGGGGAUAACAGCGCAAUCUACUUCGAGAGCCCAUAUCGACAAGCAGGUUUACGACCUCGAUGUUGGAUCAGGGUAUCCCAGUGGUGCAGCCGCUACUAAAGGUUCGUUUGUUCAACGAUUAAAACCCUAC
Molecule: ribosomal RNA, 531 nt
Filed under: Indosylvirana temporalis
Lineage: Eukaryota; Metazoa; Chordata; Amphibia; Anura; Ranidae
Description: partial 16S ribosomal RNA
Rfam family: Bacterial large subunit ribosomal RNA
Source: RNAcentral